Molecule: transfer RNA, 67 nt
Filed under: Marmota monax (woodchuck)
Lineage: Eukaryota; Metazoa; Chordata; Mammalia; Rodentia; Sciuridae
Description: tRNA.Ala
Rfam family: tRNA
About the family: Transfer RNA (tRNA) molecules are approximately 80 nucleotides in length. Their secondary structure includes four short double-helical elements and three loops (D, anti-codon, and T loops).
Source: RNAcentral
GGUUGCGGCUCAGUGGUAGAGCACUUGCCUUGCAUGUGAAUGGCCCUGGGUUCAAUCCUCAGCACCA